Long non-coding RNA from Gavialis gangeticus (Gharial), 536 nucleotides. RefSeq lists it as uncharacterized. NCBI's taxonomy places the organism in Eukaryota, Metazoa, Chordata, Crocodylia, Gavialidae. The transcript has 3 exons. The record is from RefSeq and is a predicted model, not a curated record.
AGAGGUAUACAUAGGUGUCACCUUGCUGCACCACUUAACUGCAGCUGUCCUUGGAAUGGAAAUGUGGUAAUCUUUUUUGCACCAACAGUUCUACACACAAGCAUUUUAAGAGACAGUGUAAGCCUUAGAAGGAAUUACCAUGCAAAGGUUGCAGUACUUAUCUUGAUCAGUUUUAGAGCAGCCAGCCAAUCCUGAAUAUAUAUAGUUACAGACUGAAUCCUGAUUUCCUCCAGAACAACAAGAAAUGUGCCAAAGAAGACGAGUCCAUCAAUGUUCCAAGCAGCUGAAGACUGAAUGCUACACCAUCUGUUUGAUGAAAUAAAACUACACGUUAACAUGUUUUGAUGAAGUUCAGAUUAAGUGACAAUGCUGACUGAUACUCCCAGAAACUGCUUGUACAACUGUCUCCUAACACUGUAUAUCACCUACACAAUAAGUAAUGGAUCAAUUCACAACAUUUAUCCUACUCCUCAGUUUCUCCAGCAAAGCCUAAAUGAGAGAUUAAUCAGACUUUCUAUCUGUUCUGCCAUUUUUUG